Molecule: non-coding RNA, 3927 nt
Organism: Cyanistes caeruleus (blue tit)
Lineage: Eukaryota; Metazoa; Chordata; Aves; Passeriformes; Paridae
Source: RefSeq, a predicted model, not a curated record
UAAAAAAUAAUCACCUCUGAAAAACUCAACAGUUGUUAUCCCUUCUCUCAGGAAGCAGAGAUGGACAAAUUUCAAGCAUGUCUUCUAGGCUCUUGGCUGUCUUGAUCUUUUUUCCAAAAACCCCUUGUCUGCUUAAGCAAAAUGAGCUUGUUUGAGGGAAUGGAAUCAAUCCACUGAGAAAAUGGUAAAAAUAAACCUGAAGGUUUUAUCUCUAAAAAUCUUUCCUAUGAACACAUUAUGAUUGAAAAAGAAAAAUAAAUCAGCAUCUCUCAAUACAACCAAAAGAGAAAUAUGAAAUAUUAAGCAUUGUAAUAUGUUCAUGAUCCCUUCACAAGUCAUUCUUGGCAGUUCUUGCAAAUGAAGAAGGUUUUACGAAAACUGUCUGAAAUAGUUUCCUGGUUGUUAAUGAUCCUUAAUAGAGCAGAUGGAAUUCUCCAGUCUGAGCAGAAACUACAAAAGAGUCUCUGAGGUUUAUGAUGUGUCAUUUGGUUUGCAUCCGGCAGAUCUCAUCGCAUUUGGAACCUCUUCAGGAUCAGAAAACAAUUAUUUCUGCUAUCUCACACAUUCCCUGUUUGAUAUCUCUAAAUUCAUGUCACAAGGGAAUCGCCUGGUAACUUACCUAGGUGUAGGAAACCUUCUCCAGAAAGUUCUUAGCUGGAUUAAAGGAAUGUCUACAGUCAUUUUUAAAACAGGAACUCCAUACUGCUGAAGGAAAAUCAAAGCUAACAUGAGUUUCCUCAUGCUGUUGGUGGUGAUGAAAGGAAAGAUACUCAUCCUCUUCUGUGAUCAGCAUCACCCACCAGUGAUGAACCAGGUGAAGGGAGCUGAAAAACUGCAGUGAGAGACUGGUGAUACCAGCCAAUACCUGAAGGCAAGUGAAUGCCAUCAUGCCACUGGAGGGUGAUUGGAGGUUUUGAUAUUCUACAUCCCAGAGAAAUAAUGAAAGCAUCACUACCAUGAGAUGAAUUCUUUCAACAAUCCUUGGAAUAGGACAACUGCUGAGAUCCAUGACAUAUUAUAUGUUAUGAUCCCCAUUAAAGUGUACUUCAAUAUACUUACACUUGAAAGGCUGCCCAAGGCUAAGUGGACUGAUUUAUUUGUCAUAACAACAUGUAUUGUAUAAGUAAACUUGAAUGUGGAUAGUGAAUGCAAAUAGGAAUAUGGGCACAGGAAGAAAUUAAACUCCAUGCUCCCUCAGAGUGAAAGAUUGCAGCAGUCAUUUAUAUGUUGUUUAUGAGACUUAAAAUGUUUACUAUUUCACAUGUUGUGUUGACAAACUAGUCUGUCAGACAUGAUCAGUCAGGUGGCAAAAAUUAAUCUUCUUUUCUUCCAUCACAUACCUUUCCUCAAGCCAGAGUAUCUGAGAGAUGUGUUUUAUAAUGAGAAUGGGUAGCACUUUCUUUGACAGUUAUUUUUACUCUUUCUAUUCAUAAAGUCACUUAUGAUACCUCUGCCCUCUGGUUUUCCAUUUCUAUUCUUACUUUUAUUAACUGAGUUGAUCUUUUUACUGAAUCCGUUAGCAUAUAAAGGAUAAAUUUUUCAUUCAAGGGAAUUUUUAAAACUGGUGAUGCUAUGCCCUCUGGAAACAAGUCUGGUUUUAGAGCUUCCUCACCUGAGAUGGUCAGCAGAAUGAAUGUUGCUUUGGUAUUGCUUCUGUAACAAUGUGAGCUGUUUGUCCUGCACCUUCUUGGAUAGAUGUGAUGGUCUGGGCUCCCUCUGUCCUUUUAAUAAGUUCUUCAUUAAAAAAGAGAUCUGAUGCUUCCUUUAGGGUAACUUAAUAUUUUCUUGUACUAGUAUCUGGUUUUCUACUGAAAGCUUAAAAAAAAGACAACAGAGAAGCAAGAAAUAAAUAGUGCUCAGUCGAGUUUUAGCUCUUUCACCUAGUUAUUCUGGUUCCUGCCUCAGUUUCUGAAAUUCAUAAGGUUUUAAUUUGACAUUUAGGUUUGUUUUGUAGGUUGAAAAUUGGAAUAAACAAAGUUGAUAAACAUAUUUAGUCACUUUUAAAAUGUUUUAUCAUUAAUUCAGGAGAUCUGAAAUAGUUUUUCUUUUUUUUUUAAAGAGCUUACACUUUUACAUUUCUAGUCAAUAAAUAUCACUUAACUGGCAAAUACAUAAAGGUAGAAAUAACUCUCUGAUAUAUUUUAAGUGCAUAAACCUGAUGGCAUGACUUUCUAAAAUUAUUAGACAGUGCAAAGGAGAAUGGGAAAAAUUGCUCUCAAUACAGAAAUUUCUUUCUAACGCAUCAUUUAUAGUCUCUAAAAUACUGUCAAAGUAAACCAGAAGCUAUGAUUUUGGAAAGACAAACACACAGACAUCAAAUCUUAUGGUCAUUAAAGUUGAAAGCAAAGUAGUAAUUGCUGGACACACUGGAAGGGUAAAUCUUGAGAAGGCCACAGGGAUGACAAAAGUUCUAUUUGUUAAAUCAACAGUUUGGAACACAAAAGCAAAGAAUAAAGAAUGAGGACAUCAGUAGUUCUCUCUGUUACUGGAGCUGCAUAAGUGUGUGCAAAACAGAUCUGAAAGAUCAUUUUGGACACAGUAAGAAUUCUGUAUUUGAGGAACCAAGAAGGUACAAGAGCUUUAGCUGCCCUAGCGUCAAGGAGGUUCAAGUACUAUGAGGUUGGAGUGAUAUUGAACAGACAAAACUCCAUGUUUGUUUAAUCCUGGGGAAACCUGGAACAGCUAGAGGUAAAUCCAAUGGGUAAGAAUAACAAAAAACCCAGAAAACCCACAACAAACCAGCAAAAAAAAUCUAAUUCCUUGGUUUAUUUUUCCUUUUUCUAGUUCCCUAAAGUUUGUUAUCUUUCAAAAUGUUCAGAAACAUAACCUCUUCCUUCUAAAUCAAAACAUAGUUUAAUUUUAAGCUUAAAUACCCUUUAAAAUGAACCUGAGAAGUCUAGACACCUCUUCUGUGUGAAAAAAAGCAAAUCUAAGUCAAGUGAACUGUGAAGACAAAUAGGUUUUAAAGUUUCAAUUGAAAAUUUAGAGCAUCUCAGUGUGCUGGUUGUCCAAGUACUGCUAUUCAGGUGAGUGAAAUGGGCCCUCAGAAAAUGCUGUAGGAAAUAUUAAUAAUCCUUUAGUAGUUUAGUAAUUUUCAUAUUUAAAAUUUACAUCAUAAUUGUCCACUGUAUUUUUCCUCAUGUGGAAUUUGAGAGAUAAUUAUUUAAAAAUAGGAUUUAAUUAUAGUAAAAAUAUUGUAUGUCAUGUGGAAGACCUCUGAGAUUUAAUAGUUCCCCACAAAACUGAACAUGAUCAAACCAAAUGAUUAGCAGGAAAGCUAAUAAAAAAUAACAAAUUGCCAAAUUAAAAUGACAAUGUAUAACAAUGUAUACAAAAGGAAAUCUUUCUAAUCUGUGCAUAAUUUCACUUAGUCAAAUGAAUUUUGUUCAAUCUAAUGGAUUCCAUGGUAAAAUUCAUACUGCCUAUUACACAAUUCUAGUUCUUUCCUUGAAAAUCUUUUAUAUCUACUGUUAGAAUAAAAUACUAGCAAAACCUUAAACGGAAAAUUCUUAUAUUGAGUUUGUAUUCAUCCACCUCCUUUGGUUAGUCAUCCAAGGUGUGCCUAAUUUAUGUGUUCAGCCACUAGAAUUUUGGUCUUUUUCCUAUUAUUGAAAUUCAGCUUGAGCCUUGAGUAUUUUAUGCCUUGCCUACUCAUUCUCUUGACUCCUCCAAACUGUUCUUGAAUAAAUCUUCUAAUUUUUUUUUUUUUUUAAAUUUUUUUUUUAAGAUCACCACGGUUUCUCAGAGUUUAGUUUAUUAUAUUGUAUUUAAAUUAUCUGGCAAUUUUGCUUGCUGUCGUAAACUCAGGUUUCUUCUUCCUACUGUAAAUUCUUACUGGUAUUAGAACUAGUAGUAGACCUAUAAUUCUUUGUUAAGCAGACAGGCUAUUUUUAAUAAAAGCUAUUUUUGUAACAUUGCAUAAUUCAC